Molecule: ribosomal RNA, 753 nt
Filed under: uncultured Bacilli bacterium
Lineage: Bacteria; Bacillati; Bacillota; Bacilli
Description: bacterial SSU rRNA
Rfam family: Bacterial small subunit ribosomal RNA
Source: RNAcentral
UCGAGCGAGCUUGCCUAGAUGAAUUUGGUGCUUGCACCGGAUGAAACUAGAUACAAGCGAGCGGCGGACGGGUGAGUAACACGUGGGUAACCUGCCCAAGAGACUGGGAUAACACCUGGAAACAGAUGCUAAUACCGGAUAACAACACUAGACGCAUGUCUAGAGUUUAAAAGAUGGUUCUGCUAUCACUCUUGGAUGGACCUGCGGUGCAUUAGCUAGUUGGUAAGGUAACGGCUUACCAAGGCAAUGAUGCAUAGCCGAGUUGAGAGACUGAUCGGCCACAUUGGGACUGAGACACGGCCCAAACUCCUACGGGAGGCAGCAGUAGGGAAUCUUCCACAAUGGACGCAAGUCUGAUGGAGCAACGCCGCGUAAGUGAAGAAGGGUUUCGGCUCGUAAAGCUCUGUUGGUAGUGAAGAAAGAUAGAGGUAGUAACUGGCCUUUAUUUGACGGUAAUUACUUAGAAAGUCACGGCUAACUACGUGCCAGCAGCCGCGGUAAUACGUAGGUGGCAAGCGUUGUCCGGAUUUAUUGGGCGUAAAGCGAGUGCAGGCGGUUCAAUAAGUCUGAUGUGAAAGCCUUCGGCUCAACCGGAGAAUUGCAUCAGAAACUGUUGAACUUGAGUGCAGAAGAGGAGAGUGGAACUCCAUGUGUAGCGGUGGAAUGCGUAGAUAUAUGGAAGAACACCAGUGGCGAAGGCGGCUCUCUGGUCUGCAACUGACGCUGAGGCUCGAAGCAUGGGUAGCGAACAGG